RNAcentral lists this ribosomal RNA (453 nucleotides) under uncultured bacterium. RNAcentral describes it as "bacterial SSU rRNA". It matches the Rfam family "Bacterial small subunit ribosomal RNA", at positions 328 to 795 of the family's 1533-position model. The record is from RNAcentral.
AGGCCAGACUCCUACGGGAGGCAGCAGUGGGGAAUAUUGGGCAAUGGGCGCAAGCCUGACCCAGCAACGCCGCGUGAAGGAAGAAGGCUUUCGGGUUGUAAACUUCUUUUCUGAGGGACGAAGAAAGUGACGGUACCUCAGGAAUAAGCCACGGCUAACUACGUGCCAGCAGCCGCGGUAAUACGUAGGUGGCAAGCGUUAUCCGGAUUUAUUGGGUGUAAAGGGCGUGUAGGCGGGAAAGCAAGUCAGAUGUGAAAACCACGGGCUCAACCUGUGGCCUGCAUUUGAAACUGUGUUUCUUGAGUACUGGAGAGGCAGACGGAAUUCCUAGUGUAGCGGUGAAGUGCGUAGAUAUUAGGAGGAACACCAGUGGCGAAGGCGGUCUGCUGGACAGCAACUGACGCUGAGGCGCGAAAGCGUGGGGAGCAAACAGGAUUAGAUACCCUGGUAACU